GGGGGCGCAAUGGUUUCGACGGGGGCAUUUAAGCAGGAUAAGCGAGUAGCGGUGGGCGCCGCUAUAAAAGCCCAAAAAAUAAUUAAACGCUAACGAUAAUUUAGCUUACGCUGCCUAAUUAGGCGGCCGUUCUUACCGGGAGUACCACAGCCCGGAUAAGGGCGUCAUUCAGUGGUGAACGUGAGGCGCGUAAGCUUUGCCGCGCCCAUGAAAAAUGAAGCUACUAAAACCCGAAGCUUGUUUGUGUGCUUCGGGCGGAGGGAAUGUUGAACACAAACUACACUCGUAGAAAGUCUUGUGGCGUGCUUUCGGACGGGGGUUCGACUCCCCCCGCCUCCACCA
This 342-nucleotide transfer-messenger RNA is filed under the name Firmicutes bacterium ADurb.Bin193. Its description in RNAcentral is "transfer-messenger RNA, SsrA". It matches the Rfam family "transfer-messenger RNA". From Rfam's summary of the family: Bacterial tmRNA, also known as 10Sa RNA or SsrA, is named for its dual tRNA and mRNA-like properties. Lineage: Bacteria; Bacillati; Bacillota. RNAcentral also lists the same sequence under 1 other name. The record is from RNAcentral.